AGUCAUAACACCUGCUUUUAUGGUGCUUUUCGGACAGGAAAAGUACAUCGUAACCUUGGGAAAGAUUCUCAGAGAAAGUUAAUUGGAGUGGGGUCUGAUCUUAUCAUGGACGUUCAAUCUGUGUUAGUUAAUAGCAAAACUCAAGGCACACUCCAGAGCUCGCUGAAGCCUCUCCGGUGUUGAAUGGAAAUAGCCUGAAGUAAUUAGCCUACUAAGACCCACUCAUUAGGAGGCCUGUGGAGGUCUGCAGUGGUUUGAAUUGACUGGCUGGCUCCAGAUUCAAGGAGUCGGGCCGAAUGAUGCAGGUGUGUACACAUGCACAGCCAGGGAUGCCUUCGGAGAGGGGUCUGCCUCUGCCAGAUUACAGGUUACAUAUGGAGGUUCUCAGCUGAGCAAAGAUUUCCAGCAAAAAGAAAAUGGAGC
This is a long non-coding RNA of Carassius gibelio (silver crucian carp), 423 nucleotides long. RefSeq lists it as uncharacterized. Lineage: Eukaryota; Metazoa; Chordata; Actinopteri; Cypriniformes; Cyprinidae. The record is from RefSeq and is a predicted model, not a curated record. The transcript has 3 exons.